AGAUGGGUAGCGCAAUGGUAGAGCACUGGUCUCCAAAACCAGCGGUUGUAGGUUCAACUCCUAUCCCAUCUG
This 72-nucleotide transfer RNA is filed under the name Caldilineaceae bacterium. Its description in RNAcentral is "tRNA-Trp". It matches the Rfam family "tRNA". From Rfam's summary of the family: Transfer RNA (tRNA) molecules are approximately 80 nucleotides in length. Their secondary structure includes four short double-helical elements and three loops (D, anti-codon, and T loops). Lineage: Bacteria; Bacillati; Chloroflexota; Caldilineae; Caldilineales; Caldilineaceae. The record is from RNAcentral.